Molecule: transfer RNA, 72 nt
Filed under: Peraxilla colensoi
Lineage: Eukaryota; Viridiplantae; Streptophyta; Magnoliopsida; Santalales; Loranthaceae
Description: tRNA-Asn
Source: RNAcentral
UCCUCAGUAGCUCAGUGGUAGAGCCGUCGGCUGUUAACUGACUGGUCRUAGGUUCGAAUCCUACUUGGGGAG